This 500-nucleotide ribosomal RNA is filed under the name uncultured bacterium. Its description in RNAcentral is "partial 16S ribosomal RNA". It matches the Rfam family "Bacterial small subunit ribosomal RNA", at positions 29 to 523 of the family's 1533-position model. The record is from RNAcentral.
AUUGAACGCUGGCGGCAUGCCUUACACAUGCAAGUCGAACGGCAGCACGGGAGCAAUCCUGGUGGCGAGUGGCGAACGGGUGAGUAAUAUAUCGGAACGUGCCCAGUCGUGGGGGAUAACGUAGCGAAAGCUACGCUAAUACCGCAUACGAUCCAUGGAUGAAAGAGGGGGAUCGCAAGACCUCGCGCGAUUGGAGCGGCCGAUAUAAGAUUAGCUAGUUGGUGGGGUAAAAGCCCACCAAGGCGACGAUCGGUAGCUGGUCUGAGAGGACGACCAGCCACACUGGAACUGAGACACGGUCCAGACUCCUACGGGAGGCAGCAGUGGGGAAUUUUGGACAAUGGGAGAAAGCCUGAUCCAGCAAUGCCGCGUGCAGGACGAAGGCCUUCGGGUUGUAAACUGCUUUUGUACGGAGCGAAACGGUCCUCUCUAAUACAGGGGGCUAAUGACGGUACCGUAAGAAUAAGCACCGGCUAACUACGUGCCAGCCGCCGCAGUAA